RNAcentral lists this long non-coding RNA (3973 nucleotides) under Salmo salar (Atlantic salmon). RNAcentral describes it as "lncRNA (ENSSSAG00000086400.1)". The record is from RNAcentral. Lineage: Eukaryota; Metazoa; Chordata; Actinopteri; Salmoniformes; Salmonidae.
UUUUAUAGUGAUAUAAACAACAUGUCAAUAAUCAGAGGGCUCUAAAAGUACAGGCUGACCAAUAGCCUACUAUUAAUUCACAAACUGCCACUCUGGGAAUCAUUGCUGAGGCAUAAAUGUGAUAUGGACAAGCCGCAUUUAUGUUGAAAUAACUGAAUAUCAAUUUGCAUAACAAUUACUGGCCUGUCUUGAAGGUAAAUGAGACAGCAAGGAGAAUUUAAUCGAAGUACACAACAAAUAAUGCCACUUAAAAAUAUUGUCCUCUGAUAGGCAAUUGGUGGGUUUAUGUAUGAUGCAUGAUCAUUUCCUUGAUACAAGGCCUGCCCCAUGCCUCUUUCUGGAUGGGCUAGCUCUCAAUACACAUAUUGGUGGACGUGUUUUCUCAUACAGAGUAGACUGCAUUGUGUGAUUUGCUAUUUGCAGGUGGUCAUCAGCUAAAUAAACCUAUAAAGAAUACAUUAUUUCAUGCAUGGAAAUAAUGUAUUAGACUUGUUUACAGUCUGCAAUUUAAGUGGUGUUUACAUAAAUUACAUGCUGGUAAUGACCUAAUAGGCCUACUUGCAUUCUGGUUUCUUUGGGUUUUAUUCAAACAAGCAGCAUUUGCACAAAAUACCAGGUAGUUAUAGUUGUGUUGAUUUCUUGGAAGUGGCAACAGAAGUAUCCAUAGUUACUGUAUAAUUUCCUUGUAAAUACCAGGGAAAACACAAGUGAAACAGUAAAUUAAAGUAACCCUACAGUAAAGUAACAGGACUGUAAAGUAUUAGUUAAAUUACUACAGAGUUCAAAUUACUUUAAAAAGUUGCACUCUUCAAGAUUAAGUAUGAACAGAAUUCCAUCAAACUUGGUAUGCAGAGAUAGCAUCUUGUCCCUGCACCAGGAAUGGCAUUUUUUUUAAACGACAAUGGAAAGGACGACUGUUGGUUUCGCCAGGCAAACAUAGUCUACAAUGUAUUUACUAAAUGCAAAAUACUCAAAAGAAAUGUUGACCACAAAGAAAAGUUACACAUAACUUGAACCAAGGUGCACCAUGAUGUCUAAGUUAUAUGCAGCAGAGUAUACCUCAUUUUAGUUUUACAAUUGAGUAGUGGUCGGGUGACCGCCACAACUCAUACCAAAGUCAAAAUACAGGUUUACAUCUCUAAAGUCAUUGGUGCACAAUGCUGAAUGCAGGCCUUCUAUACUUAGUAUAGAGUUUAAAGAGAAAUAGAGUUUAAAGAGAAAACCCAGCAUCUCAAAAAGGUAACGUACUCAUUUCUGUCUUCCGAAAAGUGCUUAGGUGUGCAAUAACUCUGCAGUGAUCUCAAAAGUGUUCUAAGAAUCCUACGACAGCAAUUUCACUCAGUAUUCCACUCAGUUGCUAUAACAUUCACCUUCAAGUAAUUUGCUCUGUCAAACAUAUCCACAGCAGAAUAACAAACAGGGAAUUAAAAGCUUAUGGAAAAAUUAAAACUAGGAGGUUCAAUAGAAUACAUAUCCUCAUAAAUGAGCCUUUUGACACUCGUGUUGUUUGGUUACAGAGGAGUUAGUAAUCCAGAAUGCUGAAAGCUAUCCCAUCACCAGUUUCUGACUGUAACAGUCUCUCAUCAACAAAAUCAAUUUCCCCUCACAUGCAUCAACGAAGUAAGAUUGAUCAAAUCCAGAAAAAGAAUGACACCUUUUGAAUAUGAUCAUAAUACAGUAUACUCAUGUGGAUUUGAAAACUGCCAUGCAUAACCAAACACAUAAAACUUCAGUCACCAAUACAGGUCACAACAUUCUGCAGUCUCAGUAUUACCUGAUGCUCUCAAACAUGUAUAGAAAGGCCCCAAAAAACAGAAAAAGGAUCCAAACACAAAAGGGAGAGCUAUCUGUGCGGACCAUUCUCAGCAUUGACCUGCUCGUCAAUGCCCCAGAACCUCAUCUGCAUUUCUAUUCUUGCCCAGCUUGUGUAUGUGGAAGUAACGCCCAACGGUCACUGACUUGAUGAGCUCUCUGGGUUAGAAAAGCUGGUGCCUUAGACGCUGAGCUGAGCAACUCGGUUAGUUCCUCAAUGGAGUCUGUGGCUCAUUUCCUUUAACGCAUCACUUCUUCUACACCUCAGAAUUCAAAAUGUCCCUAAAAAGGAAUCUCAUUACAUGAUGUACAUUUCUACAAAAAUUCCAUCGUCAAAAAGCUUGUACGUUCUCUCCUCCAACUCUCCAUAACAGUGAUGCAUGAUAUCUUUUGAGCAUCAAAUACACAAAAAGUUCCUGCAUAACUCUUCAUGUUGAUGAAAGUUAAAGUUUGGAUAGAAAGUUGUGCCACAAUUUCAUUCCCUGCCUCUGGACAUGAAAAUGAACAUGAUUUCAUCCGCAACAUUCCAGCCACCACUUUAGUCACGAGACUUUAAGAAGGUCCACAUGCAAAUGCCCACAGACAAUGAAGGAAUAAAUAGCCUGCCCUACAUCUUAGUUAUCAUAAGUUCACAUAUCCCGUGUCAUAAAAUUUAACCUCUCCAAUUGGCAGAGGCAAAGGGCAGUCUGACUCAAAAAGAAAAUACAUAUCAGAAAAGUAUUGAUGUCUCUUGUGUGUCUCUCAAACAAAAGACCCAUCCUGUCCCUUCCCCCCACUGAGUUAUUUAUCCAUAGUUCUUAAAUGCUUCCUAGUCAAACUUGAAUAUGGAAUGAAGCGCUAGGGCUUUGUGGCGGAAAUAUAAUUAAGCUGGUGAAAGAUGUAUAAGGUGAAGAAUAGGGAUGACAUCAGGCCAAUUUCACACUUGGCACUCGGAUGGCCGGGCCCAAGCUAGGCUCUUGCCACGCAACACAGAUCAAAGCACGCUGCCACUACCAAAAAGGCAAAGGAGGACUUAAGUAUGCUAAUCUCCAGGACAAAUAUAUUUUAAUCUUGUUAGAAUACAAGUUAAUGCUGCAGAUCAGUGACUAAACUUUAUAGAGAGUAAGGGAAAUAUUCACUUUCCAACAUUUCUGAAUGAGAUGGUAUUCCUGGACCAUUGAAAUUGCAUUUAAGAAAUUGUACAAAUGGUUUAUCAUAUAGUCCUCAUUACCUGUGUGAAGGUUGCAUUUCAUCUGAGAAACCCCCUCCAGGAGUCCACUCAGCAUACUGCAAAGGCACUAACAUGCGUAGGAAAUGAGCAUUUAGUGGUCCAGUUUGCCCCGCCACUUUGAGCCCCUUGCCAACAGCACCUUGGUAACCCUUGAUCUGUCAUGAAGUUAAGCUCAAGCCCUAGACAUCCAGAGACAGCUAUGCACACAAAGCAAAGCUGACACUUUCUUAAGCCAGAAUAAACUCCCAACACACAACUUCUAGGAAUAUGCAACAAGUUGAAAACUUUUGUUUUGAAAGAACUGGAUGUGCAGUUGGGGGAAAAUUCUGUAAUUCCUGAUGAUAAUCGAAAUUCUAUAUCCUGUUAGUAUUCAACUUGCCUGCUUCAUAGGGUUUAUUUUCAGUCACAUGUAGUCAGUGGAAGUUUGACCCAUACAAAGCUUGACCCAUGCAUUUGUUCUUCGUUCCUUAGCAAAGGAGGUUUACAUUUUUUUUCUCCAAAACUGACCUAAAUCUUUCCACAAAUAAGUGUAGAUACAUGUUGGGUAAAACUUUCCAAAAAUACUAAAUAAUAUUUAGACCAUAAAGCCCCAAAAUACACGUGACUAUUAGUCAUUAUUGGAUGAAGCUGUGAGGGUCAUUAUAUGAAAAAGGAACAACAUUGUCCAUGAGGUUUUGCAUUUCCCUGGCAUAUAGCAGUGUGUUCAAUCUGUAGAUGGUGAAUUUACAACCUGUGUGCUCUGAGAUAUGUGUUAUCACAAUUUUGUAGAUCAUUUACCUGAUUUAGGAAUUUACAAAUGUUUUUAUAGGGAGAUAAUCAUAUCAGGCUAUGUAUAUCUACCAAGGCUCUCCUGGAGGUUCUUUUUCCCCACUUUGCAUUUUUUUUUUGUAACACUGAAAAUUCUGCUUAUCAUCGAAAAGGGCUAUUUUAGAACAACUGUUGGAUCAAUUG